RNAcentral lists this ribosomal RNA (503 nucleotides) under uncultured bacterium. RNAcentral describes it as "bacterial SSU rRNA". It matches the Rfam family "Bacterial small subunit ribosomal RNA", at positions 25 to 518 of the family's 1533-position model. The record is from RNAcentral.
CAGAACGAACGCUGGCGGCGCGUUUAAGCAUGCAAGUCGAGCGGCAAGGGCCUUCGGGCCCCUAGAGCGGCGGACGGGUGAGUAACACGUGGACAAUCUGCCCCCCGGCCCGGGAUAGCCCAGGGAAACCUGGAUUAAUACCGGAUGAGACGGGACCCGCGAUGGCGGGAUCCGGGAAAGGCGCUGCGGCGCCGCCGGGGGAUGAGUCUGCGUCCCAUUAGCUGGACGGCGGGGUAACGGCCCACCGUGGCGACGAUGGGUAGCCGGCCUGAGAGGGUGGACGGCCACAUCGGAACUGAGACACGGUCCAGACUCCUACGGGAGGCAGCAGCUAAGAAUCUUCCGCAAUGGGCGAAAGCCUGACGGAGCCGACGCCGCGUGAACGAAGAAGGCCGUGAGGUUGUAAAGUUCUUUUCGGGAGGGGGAACAACCGUGGCAGGGAAUGGCCGCGGGAUGACGUGAAUCCCGGAAUAAGCCCCGGCUAACUACGUGCCAGCCGCCGC